CCUACGGGUGGCUGCAGUGGGGGAUAUUGCACAAUGGGGGAAACCCUGAUGCAGCGACGCCGCGUGGGCGAAGAAGUAUUUCGGUAUGUAAAGCCCUAUCAGCAGGGAAGAAGAAAUGACGGUACCUGAGUAAGAAGCACCGGCUAAAUACGUGCCAGCAGCCGCGGUAAUACGGAGGGUGCAAGCGUUAUCCGGAUUUACUGGGUGGAAAGGGAGCGGAGGCGGCAAGGCAAGCCAGAUGUGAAAGCCCGGGGCCCAACCGCGGGACUGCCUUGGGAACUACGGGGCUGGAGUGCCGGAGGGGUAGGCGGAAUUCCUGGUGUAGCGGUGAAAUGCGUAGAUAUUAGGAGGAACACCAGUGGCGAAGGCGGCCUGCUGGACGGUGACUGACGCUGAGGCUCGAAAGCGUGGGGAGCAAACAGGAUUAGAUACCCGUGUAGUC
RNAcentral lists this ribosomal RNA (442 nucleotides) under uncultured bacterium. Its description in RNAcentral is "partial 16S ribosomal RNA". It matches the Rfam family "Bacterial small subunit ribosomal RNA", at positions 338 to 795 of the family's 1533-position model. The record is from RNAcentral.